UUUUUGUGUCAUAAUUUGUUUAAUGUCCAAUCCGAUCAACCCAUGAUAUAUUAAUUAUAGUUUAGUUUCAUAAUUUUUAAUAAAAAUUGAUCAAAGAAAUUAUAUAUAACAACAAAAACAUUAUAUAUGUAUAAAUAAAAUGAUCAAAUAUAUAAAAAAAUUGUCGAUAUUAUAUACAAAUAAACUCAUCCAACGCAAGGUGCAUCGCGCAUUUCUUAUCCUAGUAUACAUUAAAAGUAAAAUCAUCUCUAUAAUGAAAUUUCUAUGUUUUAAGAGGUUAUAGAAAUAAGUUGGAGAUGUUCUAGUAUUCAGUUUUUCUCCAUAUCUACAACAUUUUCCGAGUUCUUUCCUCACUCCCACUUGAUUUUAGAUAUGAAAUAAUAAAACCAAACUGACAUGAGCCUGGUUUUCGUUAGUCUUCUUGUUUAUUUUUAAAAACUUUCUACUACGUAAAAAGGAAUUUUAUCAAUGAUCAAAGGAGACAUGUUCUGGUAAACAAAGGUGACGAAACAACCACUAUUACAUUACAUCCAUAAUAGCUUGUAUUCUUUUUUUUCUUUUUGAACAAGAAUAGCUUUUAUUCUUCUUUUUUCGAUUUCGUUAAAGCUAACUUUUUCAAUAAGAGAGAAAGCCAACAACAUCAAUGAGGAUAGCAUGAACUUUUCUCGGUCUGAUUCAGAUAUGAGUUUUUAAAAUGUGCAUAAAUUAUUUACUUAGUAGAUGCUGUAAAAAAUUUAAAAAUCUGAAGGUUUGAAUGAAGUAGAAAGCAAGAUUUAUGAAGUGCGGACUCCCAUUGGCUGUAGUUUCAGCUGUGGAAUCCUUUGCCUCAUUACAUCAAAUUAUUUAAACAUUUAUAAACCUAAAUACAAAAUGUUUAUAUAAUGGCCAAACAAGGUAUCCAUAGAAACGUUUUACAUAACUGUCAAACACAACAGAUCCCCGAUCUUACAAUCAACAUUUCAUAUUUUACAAGAUGGGGAGAUGAUUCUAACGUAAAUA
Long non-coding RNA from Brassica rapa (field mustard), 999 nucleotides. RefSeq lists it as uncharacterized. The record is from RefSeq and is a predicted model, not a curated record. NCBI's taxonomy places the organism in Eukaryota, Viridiplantae, Streptophyta, Magnoliopsida, Brassicales, Brassicaceae.